Molecule: long non-coding RNA, 934 nt
Organism: Cavia porcellus (domestic guinea pig)
Lineage: Eukaryota; Metazoa; Chordata; Mammalia; Rodentia; Caviidae
Exons: 2
Source: RefSeq, a predicted model, not a curated record
ACGUGACAGCCGCGGGGCGCGGAGCAACUGGUUGAGCCUCUGCGCCCUGGCUUGUGAGACCGGCUGUGAGAGCUGCGGUUUCCUGGCCACGCCCCCGGCCUCUCCUGCUUCUCUUUUUUGAAUGUGGCACAGGGACACUACUGACUCGACCAUGUGACAGGCCUUCCUACUGCCCCAGAAGCUGAGCAAGAAGGGCGCAGGGGCCUGACCACCACGUGGGCGGGUGAUCAACAAUGUGUCCAGCAGGAUAUCAGAAACCUGAGCUCGAGGCCACAGGAAGGAGAAGCAGACCCACAUCCACCGCUGUUUUGGAAGGAGUGCUCUCCAGAUUAAGGACAACAUCCCCACUUGCUUCCCCAGUCCUGUCACCCAUGACAGUUAUUCUUUCAACAAGCAUCACUUAUUCAGGGCUGAUGUUACUUGUGCUGCAGACACAAACACAAAUGAGAUAAGCCACGGAGCAGAUCCUCACAAUGGACAGGGAGAAUGGGGCAUCAACAAAUGGCAACAGAAGUGCACACCAAUAAUCCCAGAACUCGAGAGGCUGAGACAGGAGGAUCACAGUGAGUUUGAGACCAGCCUGGGCUACAGAGAAAGUUCAAGGACAGCCUGGACUACAUAGUGAAACCCUCUCUCCAAAAACCAAGAUGAAAAAAAGCACACACACAAGGAAAAUGGGGACAAGUAUCAUGACAGAAGGCUCUGAGGCAUGAGGACUUUGUCUCUAUCAUUCCCAGUGUCCAAGCUUGACAUGGCCCAUGCCUCUGGCACAAGUCUCUUGGGUGACUGAGAUAAAGAGAAACUUCCGUAAUGGUGACAGUGUUAUGCCUCUCCUUGGGAUGGUGGGGACUAGGCCACCUUGGAUUUUGAACAUCCGCUUAAAAUAUAAGCACUUUGCUUCAUGUAAAUAAAGCUCAUUUGAGUUGACUGCUAA